CGUGGAAGGAACUGAGACAGUCACAGGCCUGUUCUCCAGCAGCCUGCCUUCUGAGCAGCACUGGGACUCACCCAGGGGAGGUGGAGCCCCCAGACGCUGUGAUAUGAAAUUCCAGAUCAUGGGAGGGAGAGUUUGAAGAAGGAAGAACCACCAAUAGAAAGCGGUCCCCAAAGAGGUAUCGGGGAUGGCACCCAGACAGGAGCACAUGUACCACUGCCCAGAAUGUGCAUUUCACUAGACAAGUGACCACAAAAGGAGAAAAAAGUGCAUUUGGGGUUGACAUUUGCUUAAGCAGAAUAACUAAAAACAAAGAGGAUUAGCAUACAUUCUAUCUCAAACAACAGAACCAGAUGUCUGGAGUCUUCAUGAAUUCACUGUCCACAUAAAAUGUCCCACACCUCUGGGUUCAGGGAUCAGAAUAAUUUGGAUUAAAUAUUCAGGAUUUUUGUCUCUUGUGAAGAGGAAACAUGUUGGCAUAAACCAAAAACUGGCCAAGGCCAAGUGGUGAGCUCAAGAGACAGGAGGCGCAUGUGGACAGAGGUGUGAAAAAACCCAGUGGUUCUCUCGUUUUCACUGUGACUUGAAAAUGCCCACUCCUCCCAGAAGUUCAAGGAACUGGACCCCCGGACAUGAGCCCAAGGUUCGCCGGCUUCAAAGAUCCUGGCCACACACCAGUGAGCCUGGCAGAGGCAGGCUUCUGGUCCUCUUUCCCAGUGAUUUCCUGCUGGCCUGACACCAAACUCCACUUUCCCUGAAUGACUCUAAUAAAAGUUUAUCAAAACUGGCGGAGCACAGAGGACUUUUAGGAUGGUGAAGCUACCCAGUGAGAGACUACAAUGGUGAAUAUACGGUAUUAUUCAUUUGUCGAAACCCACAGAAGGCACAACAUCAAGAAUGAACGCUAAUGUAAACUACAGACUUCACAGGGCGACGAUGUGUCAAUGCGGUUCACCAACUGUAAUCAAUGUACCAAUCUAUGGUGGAUACU
Molecule: long non-coding RNA, 988 nt
Filed under: Homo sapiens (human)
Lineage: Eukaryota; Metazoa; Chordata; Mammalia; Primates; Hominidae
Description: HSALNT0169833
Source: RNAcentral